AUCACAUGUAACAGCAACUCCAUGUGGACUGUGUACAGAUUUCCAGUGGAGAUGCUGUUACUUUUGAU
Molecule: microRNA precursor, 68 nt
Filed under: Microtus ochrogaster (prairie vole)
Lineage: Eukaryota; Metazoa; Chordata; Mammalia; Rodentia; Cricetidae
Description: microRNA 194-1 (ENSMOCG00000008979.1)
Rfam family: mir-194 microRNA precursor family
About the family: The hairpin precursors (represented here) are predicted based on base pairing and cross-species conservation -- their extents are not known. In this case the mature sequence is excised from the 5' arm of the hairpin.
Source: RNAcentral